RNAcentral lists this long non-coding RNA (796 nucleotides) under Homo sapiens (human). Its description in RNAcentral is "HSALNT0401197". Lineage: Eukaryota; Metazoa; Chordata; Mammalia; Primates; Hominidae. The record is from RNAcentral.
UACGUUAAAGAGUAACCAGUCACUUAGGGAACCCGCGGCUGGGGACUGUUGCUGUCUCCAUGGCAAUGGCGACCUGGCCAGACCUGAGGUCCACUCGGGUCCUAGUCCUGCACUCUGGGGUUAGGGGAACCCAGAGCCAGGUGUAUGGGGACAUCAGCCCCCCAAUUUGAGGACAGGGCCGGAGCAGAAGGGGCUGGAGAGGCCUUGUGCUAGACUCUGGGGAUAUGGAAAUGAGCAAAGUAGAUGUACCCCCGAAACUUGUGGACUAAUGGAGGAGACGGACCUUAAUCAGAUCGUCAUUCAAAGAUACUAUUACAAACUGUUCUGAGAGCCGAGGAAGCAGGAAGGAGCUGUGAGAGACUGAGCUCUAACCUUGGCCAUCAAAGACAAGCUGUGCAGCUCUGGUUUUUUGAGGGCAGGACAUGGAGGGUCAGGCCCAGCUGGAGGCGCACCAAAGCCCAGAGAAAAUUCAGAACCACGUGAACUUGUUGGAUUUCAGCCCCUUGAAGCACAUGUUGCUAUUGCAGCUGCCUUGAUAACUGGGGGGACAGGAGGAGCACGGCUUUCCCAUCUUGUACGGGGACUCGCCAAUCCAGUUGCCCCUGGAAGAGAAAAGGACCCAGGGAGACAGAGGAGCAUUAGGUGAGUAACCUUCACACAGAUGUCCAGAUCUCAGCGCUGCCACUGACCAGCCCUGGGGACCUGGGGCAAGUCACAUCUGCAAGCCUUGGUUUCUUUUUUUUCUUUCCUUUAUUUAUUUAUUUAUUUAUUUUGUUUUGCUCUGUCACCCAUAGCU